This 463-nucleotide unclassified non-coding RNA is filed under the name Hevea brasiliensis (rubber tree). Lineage: Eukaryota; Viridiplantae; Streptophyta; Magnoliopsida; Malpighiales; Euphorbiaceae. The record is from RNAcentral.
AUGCUUGAUUUUCAAGAACUUAUAUUUUGUCAACAUUCACUAAUUCAUGGAAGAAAGCAAAGCAACUCCAUUUAGAUUCACAUGGAGAAUUAACAACUUUUCCAAAUUGACUGAAAAAAAACUGUAUUCGGAGGUUUUCUGUGCUGGCGGUUGUAAUUGGCGUUUGAUUAUUUUCCCCAAAGGAAACAAUGUGGAUUUUUUGUCCAUAUACCUGGCUGUUGCUGAUUCAACAACUUUGCCACAAGGAUGGAGUAGAGAUGCAAAAUUUAGCUUGGCAGUUGUUAACCAAUUCAAUAACACGUCCACAGUCAAAAAAGACACAAAACAUGUAUUCAAUGCAUUGGAAGACGAUUGGGGUUUCACAUCUUUCAUUCCUCUUAGCAAAGUGAAAAAUCCUGCAGAAGGGUAUCUUGUGGGAGAUACCCUUAUAGUUGAAGCCGAGGUUCUUGUUUAUAAUGUCCAG